UUUAUCGGAGAGUUUGAUCCUGGCUCAGGACGAACGCUGGCGGCGUGCCUAAUACAUGCAAGUCGAGCGGAUUGAUGGGAGCUUGCUCCCUGAUAUCAGCGGCGGACGGGUGAGUAACACGUGGGUAACCUGCCUGUAAGACUGGGAUAACUCCGGGAAACCGGGGCUAAUACCGGAUAACUCAUUUCCUCGCAUGAGGAAAUGUUGAAAGGUGGCUUUUAGCUACCACUUACAGAUGGACCCGCGGCGCAUUAGCUAGUUGGUGAGGUAACGGCUCACCAAGGC
Molecule: ribosomal RNA, 285 nt
Filed under: Bacillus sp. DSM 27956
Lineage: Bacteria; Bacillati; Bacillota; Bacilli; Caryophanales; Bacillaceae
Description: partial 16S ribosomal RNA
Rfam family: Bacterial small subunit ribosomal RNA
Source: RNAcentral